GACGAACGCUGGCGGCGUGCUUAACACAUGCAAGUCGAACGGAAAGGCCCUGCUUUUGUGGGGUGCUCGAGUGGCGAACGGGUGAGUAACACGUGAGUAACCUGCCCUUGACUUUGGGAUAACUUCAGGAAACUGGGGCUAAUACCGGAUAGGAGCUCCUGCUGCAUGGUGGGGGUUGGAAAGUUUCGGCGGUUGGGGAUGGACUCGCGGCUUAUCAGCUUGUUGGUGGGGUAGUGGCUUACCAAGGCUUUGACGGGUAGCCGGCCUGAGAGGGUGACCGGCGACAUUGGGACUGAGGUACGGACCAGAAUCCUACGGGAGGCAGCAGUGGGGAAUAUUGCACAAUGGGCGGAAGCCUGAUGCAGCAACGCCGCGUGCGGGAUGACGGCCUUCGGGUUGUAAACCGCUUUCGCCUGUGACGAAGCGUGAGUGACGGUAAUGGGUAAAGAAGCACCGGCUAACUACGUG
This 468-nucleotide ribosomal RNA is filed under the name uncultured bacterium. RNAcentral's name for it is "partial 16S ribosomal RNA". It matches the Rfam family "Bacterial small subunit ribosomal RNA", at positions 28 to 507 of the family's 1533-position model. The record is from RNAcentral.